Long non-coding RNA from Pygoscelis adeliae (Adelie penguin), 1235 nucleotides. RefSeq lists it as uncharacterized. The record is from RefSeq and is a predicted model, not a curated record. The transcript is spliced from 3 exons. Lineage: Eukaryota; Metazoa; Chordata; Aves; Sphenisciformes; Spheniscidae.
GCUAUCCAGAAGGCAGGUGACCCCCCUCAUCCCCCUGGCAUUGGUGGUUUCUCUUUUGUUUCUAUAUAUAGUAAUAACCUUUACAGAAAAAAUACUUUACAACUUUUUUUUUUUUUUUGCUUUUCCUUUUGAAACAUUAUCUGAACAUUCUGUCCCCACAUUUACACAGCUGAGCUGCUUGUUUAUAAAUCAGACCUGAUCUGCAUCAGUUCCUUAGGGAAAUAAUUAAAAAAAAAAAAAAAAAAAAAAAAAAAAAAAACCAAAAUUUCCGAGGCCUUUAUCUGUUCAGGGUGAAAACAAAUUAUGGGGAUCCCUUGGAGCUGAAGUGCUCAUGGAGUUGGGGGGGGAGGGGGCGCCUGCAUGAUGUUAGAAAAAAAUAAUUAGGAUUUUUUUUUUAAAAAAGGGACAAACUUCAGACACAAGGAACCUUUUGCUAGGCUGGUAUACUUACAAUCUGGCAUUGAAAUAACUUAUCAGAAUUAAUUCGUACAGCUAGUCCUUCUGGAGCCCAGGUGUAGGUAGACAAGCCCUCUCUCUCAGACUCAGGUGAGGAUUUGGGGUCAAACAGCUACUGUCUCACCUGUCAGAGACUGGGACAGUAUCCUGUAGUGUGUUCCCAGACUAGGCUAGGAAAAGAGAGCAGGGAGGAGCUUGUAACCAGGGGAAAGCCCAAGCUUCUGGAGGUGGCAGGUCUCAACACAGUAUAGUUGCAUUUGCUUAUGCAGUAUCCAAGCUAUUGGCAAAAUUUAUCAGCAUGGACCCAGAAAUGCAUUAAUUCUUAGGUGGACUACAUCCUGGCCUCAGCUAGCAUCUCCGCCCAUCUUUGAGUGCUCUGUGCUGUGUAGGCUGCAGCAGCCUCGUGUUUUGUAGCUGCAAAAACCAUGACUGGGCCAAUAGCUACACGGGUGCUGCAGAACAGUGUUGUCCCCCCUCCCCGCCCCAGUGCUGAGCAAAAGAGACCCCCGGUCUGAGCAGGACAUCCCACAGUGGGAUCCUGAAUGUUUGCCUGCCUUCUCUUCCCUCUUCAGCGGUGCCUUCACCCUCUCCCAGAAGUCACCAGAGAUCUGUAUCAGUCCAUGCAGAAAGAGAGACUUGCCCAUCCCCAGUGAAAGGCUGGGGACAGGGGCUUGGGGACUGGGGACAUACCUGUCAUUGUACGACUGCUUGGGUCAGAGAGCAAGUAGUAUUUUCACGGCUGCUUUUAUGGCUAAGAGCGUCUUCUGUGAGCUCAGUGC